UGAAAGCCACAAGCACUGAUCCACUAGAAACAAAAUUUUUCCCGGCAUCCAGCAUUCGAUUAUUGCACUCAAUCUGUUCGACCUAAUUACGCACUGAAACAUUACAGCGUUGGGAUCUUUUGUUCUCACUAAAUCUGAAACAUUGUGAUCGGCGUUUCUGGAUGAAAAAUCUUCAUUACUUUGUUAACUAUAUCGAUUGGUUGGUGAUGAAGAAAUCCCGUCUUUUGUUUGCUGAAAGCAGGAGGAUGAGAUUAAAUUAUUGUAAUUCUGUAAUGUGCCAAUAACAGGCAUUUAUUCGUCUCUUUCUCCUUCGUUCCUUCAUAUGCUUCUUUGAUAUGCUAUGCCGUUCUCGUUUCGUAUCAAAAUUUCAUAAUUUCAGAAGCUACAUGGUUAUUUUGGUUGUGUUUUUUUCUCUAUCUGUUUAUUCACUGUAUAGACAAUAGACUGAUACGGUUCUUACUUCUACUUUGUACUAUUUUUUAUUUUCAGAUAUAAUUGUAUGUUUUCCUCUUUUUGGAAUUAGUCGAAGUAGUAGUGGAAAGUCGAAGUGAUUAGUGGGUGAUAUAGAGCAAAAGUGUUCCUUGAGCUUAGAAGAUAACCGGUAGAAUAUUUUUCUAUUUAAACGCUCAAGUAAUCUAUAAAAUUAUUUUACAACUUGGAUUGUAUUUGGGAGCUUGUUGGAUCCUAGAAAUACCAAUAAUAAUUUGAAAGUCUGGUUACACAUUAAUUUUGCCACUUUUUUUUUCUAGCUUGUUUUGUUUUUCAAUAUGAAAAGUUUAUAUUCCUAACAUUUGGUAUUAGAACUGAGCAUCA
RNAcentral lists this long non-coding RNA (813 nucleotides) under Olea europaea subsp. europaea. The record is from RNAcentral. Lineage: Eukaryota; Viridiplantae; Streptophyta; Magnoliopsida; Lamiales; Oleaceae.